Long non-coding RNA from Myiozetetes cayanensis, 1285 nucleotides. RefSeq lists it as uncharacterized. The record is from RefSeq and is a predicted model, not a curated record. Lineage: Eukaryota; Metazoa; Chordata; Aves; Passeriformes; Tyrannidae. The transcript is spliced from 2 exons.
CACACUACUCUGAAGCAAUCAACCUGAUUGUUUACUUUCCUCUCCUUGCUGUAGCACUGGAGCUUUUGCCCAUGCUGGAUCCUGCUCUUUUCUGAAUGAAGCACGUUCCUUGGCUGCAUCUGCCCUGGUGUGGGGGCAGGAGGGAUGAGCAUCCAACCCCCCGGCCCAGGGCAGCAGCACCAGCAGCCCUUCAGCUGCUGUAAAUCUUUAACUCCAAAGUUUGACAAUUAAUCGAUGAUAUCUAAUAAUUGUGCCCAUGGACUGCCAAAGGCUCCCAUUAAAGAUUUAAAAUGCAAAGAAAGGUAGAAUCAAAAAGAUGGUAUUUUGGAUUAAAUAAUGUAAAAAAAAAACUGUAGGGCAGUAGCAAAGUGAAAAGCUGUUGGCAAAAUAAAAGCAUCGUGUCAACUCUCCUUGAGACAGAUUUCAACAUUUACACAUUCAACUGCAUCUUUUUGUAGCUGGGAUUUAAAAUAAAAAUACUUAAAGGUUGCUUAAACCAGCUGUGAUUUUAAAAUAUAUUUUUGGGCUUUCAGGUUUUGAUAAGCUUGUUCUCAACAGAGUGAUGAAAAAUACAGUGUGUGAUCCUGUGUUAUAAAUAUCUCCAUAAAUACAGUGGCGAGGGGUGUAAUCUGUUGUCCAGUAUUUAAGAAUGUGUUAGCAAACUGUGUGGCAUAAUGUUUCUUUCAUUAAGUACCAAUAGAUACAGGGUGGCCAGAAAGCAUUUUGCAACAGCUUCUUGGGAAUGUGCUAUUUUUGUUAGCCUUGGAAAAAGGAUGCUGCUGCUGUAGUAUAUAAAGGCUGUCAGAAAGGUCCAGCUGGACUUUUCCUCCCUUUUCUGUACUGUCUUUAUCACUUUGCUCAGUUCCACAUAAUAACAUCUUCAUCUGAGAUUGCUGUGGCACAGGGGAACUGCAUUUGUUGAUCAAAUUUGGCUGGAUAACACUGUGAUCUCGUAUCCUGAAGUGCGGAGAUGUGCCUGGAAUACGUAAGCAUAAAGCUGGCCCCUUGAUUGAUUGAUUCUGCCUGUCACAGAACAAGAUAACUGGAUCAGUAAAUACCCUGUGCACUUCAACUUCAUCUAUACAAUCAAAAGUGAGGGCAUCAUGGGGCUGAAAAACACCAAGGCAUGAUGGGAAUAUCUACAUUUCAGAAUGAUAGCCAGGAACUUGCGAAAAGCGAGGAAGAGAAGAAAAAUUCUUUAUUCCUUUUUCUUUUUUUUUUUCCCUGUGUGUUUGUACACGAACAGCAGUGAAAAGCACAUUAAUUUUGGAGUGCUUGUGGUGUG